RNAcentral lists this transfer RNA (65 nucleotides) under Cinygmina furcata. RNAcentral's name for it is "tRNA-His". Lineage: Eukaryota; Metazoa; Arthropoda; Insecta; Ephemeroptera; Heptageniidae. The record is from RNAcentral.
UACCUAAGUAGUUUAAUCAAAAUAUUGAUUUGUGGUGUCAAAGAUAUAAUAAGUUAUCUUAGGUC